GAUUCCGUGGCCCAGUGGUUAGCGCGUUUGACUCGUAAGCAAGCGUUUCGGGUUCAAUCCCCGGUCGAGUCU
Molecule: transfer RNA, 72 nt
Filed under: Nematostella vectensis (starlet sea anemone)
Lineage: Eukaryota; Metazoa; Cnidaria; Anthozoa; Actiniaria; Edwardsiidae
Rfam family: tRNA
About the family: Transfer RNA (tRNA) molecules are approximately 80 nucleotides in length. Their secondary structure includes four short double-helical elements and three loops (D, anti-codon, and T loops).
Source: Rfam by way of RNAcentral